Molecule: ribosomal RNA, 500 nt
Filed under: uncultured bacterium
Lineage: Bacteria
Description: partial 16S ribosomal RNA
Rfam family: Bacterial small subunit ribosomal RNA
Source: RNAcentral
AUUGAACGCUGGCGGAAUGCUUUACACAUGCAAGUCGAACGGCAGCACGGACUUCGGUCUGGUGGCGAGUGGCGAACGGGUGGGUAAUGUAUCGGAACGUGCCCAGUCGUGGGGGAUAACGUAGUGAAAAUUACGCUAAUACCGCAUACGAUCUAUGGAUGAAAGCGGGGGAUCGCAAGACCUAGCGCGAUUGGAGCGGCCGAUAUCAGAUUAGGUAGUUGGUGGGGUAAAGGCACACCAAGCCAACGAUCAGUAGCUGGGCUGAGAGGACGACCCGCCACACUGUAACUGAGACACGGUCCAGGCUCCUACGGGAGGCAGCAAUGGGGAAUUUUGGACAAUGGGCGAAAGCCUGAUCCAGCCAUUCCGCGUGCAGGAUGAAGGCCCUCGGGUUGUAAACUGCUUUUGUACAGAACGAAAAGGUUUCUACUAAUACUAGGAGCUCAUGACGGUACUGUAAGAAUAAGCACCGGCUAACUACGUGCCAGCCGCCGCUGUAA